UACGUAGGGUGCGAGCGUUAUCCGGAAUUACUGGGUUUAAAGGGUGCGUAGGCGGUUAUGUAAGUCAGCAAGGGAAAUUCCACAGCUUAACUGGAGGGACUGCUUUUGAUACUGCAUGACUUGAACCAAGAUGAGGUAGGCGGAAUGUGGCAUGUAGCGGUGAAAUGCAUAGAUAUGCCAUAGAACACCGAUUGCGAAGGCAGCUUACUAGACUUGUGUUGACGCUGAGGCACGAAAGCGUGGGGAGCGAACAGG
RNAcentral lists this ribosomal RNA (255 nucleotides) under uncultured bacterium. RNAcentral describes it as "partial 16S ribosomal RNA". It matches the Rfam family "Bacterial small subunit ribosomal RNA", at positions 524 to 776 of the family's 1533-position model. The record is from RNAcentral.